GGAGUUAGCCGGUGCUUCUUCUGUGAGUGAUGUCCUUCCUGCCGGUUAUUGACCCGCAGGCCUUCUUCCUCACUGAAAGUGCUUUACAACCCGAAGGCCUUCUUCACACACGCGGCAUGGCUGGAUCAGGGUUGCCCCCAUUGUCCAAUAUUCCCCACUGCUGCCUCCCGUAGGAGUCUGGGCCGUGUCUCAGUCCCAGUGUGGCUGAUCAUCCUCUCAGACCAGCUACGGAUCGUCGCCUUGGUGAGCCGUUACCUCACCAACCAGCUAAUCCGACAUAGGCUCAUCCGAUAGCGCGAGGCCCGAAGGUCCCCCGCUUUCCCCCGUAGGGCGUAUGCGGUAUUAGCCUGGGUUUCCCCAGGUUAUCCCCCGACUACCGGGCAGAUUCCUAUGCAUUACUCACCCGUCCGCCGCUCGCCACCAGGGAGCAAGCUCCCCGUGCUGCCGCUCGACUUGCAUGUGUUAGGCCUGCCGCCAGCGUUCAAUCUGAGCCAUGAUCAAACUCUGA
RNAcentral lists this ribosomal RNA (508 nucleotides) under uncultured bacterium. RNAcentral describes it as "partial 16S ribosomal RNA". The record is from RNAcentral.